GGAAACUGCCUGAUGGAGGGGGAUAACUACUGGAAACGGUAGCUAAUACCGCAUAACGUCGCAAGACCAAAGAGGGGGACCUUCGGGCCUCUUGCCAUCAGAUGUGCCCAGAUGGGAUUAGCUAGUAGGUGGGGUAACGGCUCACCUAGGCGACGAUCCCUAGCUGGUCUGAGAGGAUGACCAGCCACACUGGAACUGAGACACGGUCCAGACUCCUACGGGAGGCAGCAGUGGGGAAUAUUGCACAAUGGGCGCAAGCCUGAUGCAGCCAUGCCGCGUGUAUGAAGAAGGCCUUCGGGUUGUAAAGUACUUUCAGCGGGGAGGAAGGUGUUGUGGUUAAUAACCACAGCAAUUGACGUUACCCGCAGAAGAAGCACCGGCUAACUCCGUGCCAGCAGCCGCGGUAAUACGGAGGGUGCAAGCGUUAAUCGGAAUUACUGGGCGUAAAGCGCACGCAGGCGGUCUGUCAAGUCGGAUGUGAAAUCCCCGGGCUCAACCUGGGAACUGCAUUCGAAACUGGCAGGCUAGAGUCUUGUAGAGGGGGGUAGAAUUCCAGGUGUAGCGGUGAAAUGCGUAGAGAUCUGGAGGAAUACCGGUGGCGAAGGCGGCCACCUGGACAAAGACUGACGCUCAGGUGCGAAAGCGUGGGGAGCAAACAGG
RNAcentral lists this ribosomal RNA (660 nucleotides) under Enterobacter sp. DH46-2. Its description in RNAcentral is "bacterial SSU rRNA". It matches the Rfam family "Bacterial small subunit ribosomal RNA", at positions 121 to 776 of the family's 1533-position model. Lineage: Bacteria; Pseudomonadati; Pseudomonadota; Gammaproteobacteria; Enterobacterales; Enterobacteriaceae. The record is from RNAcentral.